This 74-nucleotide transfer RNA is filed under the name Crateriforma conspicua. RNAcentral's name for it is "tRNA-Ala". It matches the Rfam family "tRNA". Rfam says of the family: Transfer RNA (tRNA) molecules are approximately 80 nucleotides in length. Lineage: Bacteria; Pseudomonadati; Planctomycetota; Planctomycetia; Pirellulales; Pirellulaceae. The record is from RNAcentral.
GGGGUUGUAGCUCAGCUGGGAGAGCGCUGCGUUCGCAAUGCAGAGGUCGGGAGUUCGAAUCUCCUCAGCUCCAC